AGGGGAUGCAAAGGGAACUUUGGAUCUUAUACAGCAUGAAACCUAUGUUCCAUUGGUAGCACGUUUCUCUUGCCAACCAACAAGGUCAAGGAGUGAUCGCCAAUCUGUGUACUACCAACGAUAAUACAAACAUUAAAAGACAACAAAACAAAACCAAGCACGAAACAUACUCCUGAACUAAAACCACAUAUAUACAAGCUGAAUCGUAUGGGAUCUAGCUUUAGGUAAAUGCGAUGCAAGAUGCACAAACAAAAUAAUUUAGUCAAUGAACUAUCAGAUUAAUAUGUACCAGGG
This 294-nucleotide long non-coding RNA is filed under the name Vigna radiata. RNAcentral's name for it is "long non-coding RNA (VRAD_LNC012648)". Lineage: Eukaryota; Viridiplantae; Streptophyta; Magnoliopsida; Fabales; Fabaceae. The record is from RNAcentral.